AACCAAAUAGGACCAUGGGCCUGAGAACAUGGUGACUCCAGCCUUGUGAGAGGAAUCAGAGGACCCAGACGAGUUACACUGUAACCAGACUUCGGAACCAGCCAGGGAGUGAACCCAUGUCCCCUGCAUUGCAAGGUGGAUUCUUAACCACUGGAACCACCUGGUCCUUCUGGAAUAGGAUGAGACCAGAAAUAGAAAGGCAUGACAUUUGAUGCUUCAAAGUGUUUCCAAGAGCUCAACUACUCGGAGACUAGUAGCUGCACAGUGUCGGCUAGGGGUUCUUUGGGAGUUGGGUAUUUUCAGAGGGACCUGGACCAUGCUUGCACGACAAUACGCCAUGGAGGGGAUCUUCCCGACCCAGGGAUCGAACCCACGUCUCUUGCAUCUCUUGCACUGGCAGGCGGAUUCUUUACCACUGCACCACCUGGGAAUCCCUGAGAAAAAUGCCAAAGCAGAUACGCAGCUGGGCAGUGGAGGAGUGGCUCUGUUCCAUGGGGGAGACUGGGUUAUUUCAGAUGACCUCUCUGCACCCCUGAACACCAUGAGAGACUUUAGCUACCUCGCUCAGGUUCAUCUGGCCCUGAUCCCCAGACCACCUGUAGGUAUUCUCAUGACCCUGACUGUAGUCCAUAGCUUAACAGAGAGAUUCAGGGGAAAUCAGUGCCGCCAACUACAUCCAUUUUGAUCUGCUCCUAAGCCCUCCACUGGGAACAUCACCAAUAUGGCAAACAUCUUGAAAAGGUCCAUUUCUGUGCCUCCUUGCCGAGGGUUUCCAGGGUCUCGGGGUCCAUCGAAAGUGACGAGUUGUUUUGAGUUGUGUCCAGUAUUUUCACAGUAUGUUUCUUCGCCACAAAGAUUUUUGCCCUGAACAUUUUCACUGCAUAAGUAAUUGGCCAUAAAGCAAUUGCGUCAUAAGAGGAAAAAUAACUGGCUGACAGUUUGGUUUGAAGUAUACAGUACAAAGAUCACGACAGAUAACAGUGAUUUGUCCUGAGAGUUGAUUUCUUUAUUUUGAAACACUGGAGGAGAAAGAGGCCUUGAGGGCACAGGGUCGAGCCCUCAUUUUCCAUAGAACUUUGGAACAUUUCUCCGUGGACACACGACAAUAUGCCAAGGACAUACAAUGGUGUAGAGGCUUUCACAGCUCAAUAAAGCUCAGUUGCAAACAUGCAUCCUGUGUUG
Bos taurus (domestic cattle) is the source of this 1182-nucleotide long non-coding RNA. The record is from Ensembl. NCBI's taxonomy places the organism in Eukaryota, Metazoa, Chordata, Mammalia, Artiodactyla, Bovidae.